CAAUUUCACUUUUUCUUGUUUAAUAUAAACAUCAUUAUGAUUAUUUUAGCCAUUGAAAAUAGUAUUAUAUAUUAUUAGAUCGCAAAAUUAGAAACAAUAUUUUCCGGGUAUCAAAACCUCGUGCGAGAAAGAACUUUAUCCCAUUUGUGGAUCUUGAAUAGCGUUCAGACAGUUACAAAACACCUAUUUACUUCCAUUUUAGCGCUUCAAAAUAUAAUUAACGCCUUUGUAUCUCUACUGUACCGCUUAAGGAGUCAGUUGACGCCUACCUGUUGCCCGCUUAGCACCCAUAGAGGUAAUAUAAAACCAUUUUACCGCUAACAGAGUUAAUUUUCGCUUAUUUACCACUCUUGUAUCGCUAAGAGAUCCUGUUACCGCUAUUUUAACUUUCUUAUAGCAUUGAUUGUACCUCUUAGCCAAUUACCAUAACUCUUGUAUACCGUCAUUAUCCAACCUUAAGUAAUAUAAAAAUUGUGCCUAAUUCGGGGGUAAAGUAAGGUUAGAGCGCGCUCUAACACUAAUUUGAAACACCCAUAAACCACUUUAGAAUCUAGUUAGCGCUUUUAUAGACUUAUUAUAAAUCUUAUUUUAGCGCCUAAUUGUUACUUGGGAUCGUUACAGAUAUAGUGCCCCUUGGAAAGCUUUUUGCAGAAUUCCAGAUGAUUAAAUUGGAUAUAGGAAUUUCUAUUAGUAGUCAUUUCAAAGUAUCGUUUCGUAGGUUGGAUAAGAGCGAAAGUGGAGUCUUGAUGACUAUAUGGAAUUGGUAGAGGAAAUAUAUGAUAAAUUUCAUAUUCCUGGGGUUUGACCAGAGGUAGAUUUAGUAUAAAAAUUAAUUUAAAAUUGAUGUAAAAUACUUCUAGCGUAGAAAUAUCUAUAAGCAUAUGAAUGUUUUCUAAUGUUAGGGGGGUAGGAAACUCUUUAGGCGACUCAUACUUUGGGAUACACUAGAGUAUCAUCUGAUAAUUGUUGUGGAAGGAUACUCAUAGAUUGUUGCGAAUGUCCUUGUGUUGAAUUAUUUUGUGGCACUCCGUAAUUAACACUACAUCGACUGGAAUCACUAUUAUCAAACAGUACUGGGGAUAAUAUGGUAUUUUGUUCACCUAUUAGAACUUGCUGCAAUUUUGACCGUACCAGCAAUUUACGAUGUUAAGGAACAUCUUUUAAAAAUAGCAACAGGCUCAUUAAAAACUGAGCAUCAGGAUCGUUAGCACUUUCAUGCAAGCAUUUUAACUUCUGCACUUCAAUCUGCAACAAUUUAUUAUCAAAUUUAUUGGUCUUAAGUCUUAUUACUUUUUAGGGGGAUUUGAACAUUAUUUUUAGGGUUUGCUCCUGUUCCUCAUUUAUUUUCGGCGAAGCGGGAACAUAGUCAGAAAAUGUCAUUUAGAGGUACACAAGUUUUUGUACAAUGUCAAAAAAAUAAAAUAUCAUUGCUACAUUUAAGACAUUAUUUUAUCAUUUAAAAAUUCUUCUAAUGAAUAAUAACAUUUUUCAAUUAAAAUUAUUUGUAAUGUAGCCUUGAAUUGUUUUAUAUUUUGUUCUUUAAUACUGUCGGGUAGAUUAUUAUAUAGUUUUGGCCCCAACACAUAUAUCGUUCGACUAUAUGACACAAGGUUUGAAUCACUCUGUGGAAGUAUUUUUACUUAUGUUGUCUGGGCAUCCCUCUUCCGCCAAUCUGAGCCUUAUGGCCGGCCACCAGGCAUUAUCGAAGGCCCCCUCUAUGUCCAAUGAAACCAACGUCACGAUCUUCUUUUGGUUUAGCUUCUUUUUGAUAUGUUGCAUAAGGGCAUAGAGGGAGUCCUCGGUACUCCGUUGGGGCAUAAAACCAUAUUGAUUUGGACUCAUUUUUGGCAGGAGACAGUGCUUCAUUCUUGCAACCAACAUUUUUUCAUAAAUCUUGCCUAGGAUGGGGAGAAGUCCUAUUGGCCUGUAGGAUUUUGGUAUUCUGUAAUUGUCCUUUCCUGGCUUCUUAAGGACGAUCACAGUGGCCUUCUUCCACUGUUUUCGGAAGCAUUGGAGAGCAAGACAUUUGUAUUUUCUACUACUGUUUCUAUUUCAUCUAUAUUUUUUGCCCUUGUUAUUUCCUCUAUUGUUACAUUGUUUUCUAGUUUUAAUAAUUUUAUCUUUUCAUUGAAUUUAUUCCAGUCGGCCUUUUUCGUAUUGUAUUUCCUGGUGGUAAGUUUUAUAACUAUACCUCUGGAUCUCUUAAGGUUACUUUCAAAAAUAAUACCGUUGUGGUCCGAGCUUAUAAGAUCUUCGGCCACCCACCAGUCUUUGGUCAGGCCUAGCACCCCCGUCGAGCAAGCCGUAAUGUCAACGAAGCUCCUGUAUCUUAUGCCCCCUCUGAUGGUAUCGAAGGUCGGAACAUCACCGUUGUUUAGUAUGUGAAGGCCCAUCUGGUGGAUCGCACUGGCCGCUUCCUCUCCUCUAUAGUCCACUUCGUGGCUACCCCACCACGUGCUCUUUGCGUUAAAAUCCCCCCCCCCCCCCACUAUUACGAGCUUCGGCUUUAGCUCCGCCAUUACUCUUUUUAGGUGCUCCAGGUGUGGUUCAGUGGGCUUGUCCGGCUCGAUGUUUACAGAGACUAGUGCGAUCCUCCAGGCCUCGAUCAGUAUCUCCACCACAGCCACGUUACACGUGGUUAAGGAUGGGUGUUGGACUACGGUCAUAUUAGCGUCAAAUACCGCUAUCGCUGCCUUGACGGUUGUGUUAUCUUUAGCCUCCGCCUGGAAUACUCGCACCCCCUUGUAAGGGCGCUUUUAGUGUCACGCGGAUUUGCUCACGCACGCGGGAUUGGACCGCAUGCGUAAAAUUUCACGCUGCGGAUCAUACGCAGCAUGAGUUUCAGUUUUCUACGGGCUGCGUAACGGUAUAGACGUGUUCAAAAAUGAUCAAUGUCAGAAGAAUAUCUGUCGCUUACAUACUUUACAAACGACGAAACAAGAAGACAAGAGUACAUGUUGAUCCCUUUCUUGAAAAUAGGCUUCUUGCUGGGGCGUUUGUUACACACUUUGGAAAACUACAAAAUAAUGAACGUAAAUUUAAAAAUUACUUUCGAAUGUCCAUUCGUUCUUUUGAUGAACUGUUGUGUAAAAUUGAGAAUAAGCUACAAUAAAGCAGUUUACGAAGGAUUACAAUACAACCGAUUGAGAGGCUCGCUAUUACAUUAAGAUAUUUGGCAACUGGUAAUACAUUCACUGAUCUACACUAUUCCUAUAUGAUUGGAAUUGCAACAAUUAGCGAAAUAGUAAGACAAGUUUGUUACAUAAUAUGGAUUGAACUAAAGUCUGAAUGUAUUCCACAGCUUAAUGGGAUCAAAUGGAAAGAAAUCGCAGAGGGAUUUCUCACAUAUACAAAUUUUCCUAAUUGCUUGGGUGCUAUUGAUGGAAAACAUAUAAGAGUGAUUCGGCCGCCGCACAGUGGAUCACUAUAUUUUAAUUAUAAGAAAUAUUAUUCUGUAGUGCUCCUCGCAAUGUGUGAUGCUGAUUAUAAUUUUACAUAUAUUAAUGUCGGUACCAGUGGAAGCAACGCCGAUUCAACCAUCUUUAGAAGGAGUCAAUUGUAUACGAAACUGGAAAGUAACACGUUGGGUAUCCCUGACCCGCAAGAGUUGCCUAUUAUUUGCCCCGAAGUAGCUUAUCCAUCUAGUGUAAGAGCAAAGUUGCCGUUCGUGAUAGUGGGAGAUGAGGCAUUUGGUUUAUCAUCACAUGUGAUGCGGCCUUAUGCUCGUGAUAAUUUACCUUACAAAAAGAAAAUAUUUAAUUACCGUCUGUCCAGAGCUAGAAGGUACAUAGAAUGCACUUUUGGAAUUAUGUCAAAUAAAUUUAGAAUAUUUCACAGAUCCAUGACUGUCAAGUUAGAUCUAGCACAAUUAAUAGUCAAGACGGCAUGUGUACUUCACAAUUUCAUAAGGAAACGGGAUGGCUACAUGGUCAGCCAUACAUUUGUCACAAAUGGUUUUACGGGACCACUACCCAGGCAGCAGACUGAAAGUAGUAAUACGUCGGCAAGUAAUAUCAGAGAUAUAUUUGCAGAUUACUUUAUCAAUGAAGGAAAAGUCUCCUGGCAACACCGAUAUAUAAUUAAUUAACUAAACUCAAAAGGUUUUAGAAGGUUUUUGAUGUUAUUUGUGAAUUAAAUAAUUAUGCUUAUAUUAAUAAAGUAAUGAUGCUUGUAUAAAUAAAAUAAUGAACCAAA
Molecule: long non-coding RNA, 4194 nt
Organism: Amyelois transitella
Lineage: Eukaryota; Metazoa; Arthropoda; Insecta; Lepidoptera; Pyralidae
Exons: 2
Source: RefSeq, a predicted model, not a curated record